Amphiprion ocellaris (clown anemonefish) is the source of this 522-nucleotide long non-coding RNA. Lineage: Eukaryota; Metazoa; Chordata; Actinopteri; Pomacentridae. The record is from Ensembl.
UCCGAGUUUCAUUCAAUAUAUUCAGAAGUUUUUUUCCUACCGAGCCCCGGAAGGGACAUGUCGGUAUGGCGAAACGACAAUGGAGGACACCCACCCGUACGAGAGUUUUAUUGAGUUUUAUUUUGUAAUCAGCCUAAAAUACAAAGACAUUCAAGCAGUGCGAUGCAUGAGGACUCUGCCAUGCAGACCAGCGAUCCUGAUCCUGUUGUCGGCCUUGGAGGAUGAGGUCCAGCUACCAGGACAGUUACUCUGCAGCUCACUGGUCCCAUCCUGCAGCUCAUCCAUGCCGUCCUCCUCUCAACAGACCAAAUCAAGAAAAACUAAGCGGGAUGCUACUGUGGAUCUGCUCUUCAGAUUAGCUCUGCUGUGAUUAACAAUCUGCCUUCAUCGCAGUCACAGCCAACGGGGAAGAUGGUCUUAAGGUUAAUUGCGAGGCAGAGGUCAGCUGUUGCCUGGAUAUCCGGGAUCACGCCACUGGUGGGACACAAUUGUACUGGAUUUCCAUAGAGGACAGGGACAAAG